This 495-nucleotide ribosomal RNA is filed under the name uncultured bacterium. RNAcentral describes it as "partial 16S ribosomal RNA". It matches the Rfam family "Bacterial small subunit ribosomal RNA", at positions 28 to 507 of the family's 1533-position model. The record is from RNAcentral.
GACGAACGCUGGCGGCGUGCCUAAUACAUGCAAGUAGAACGCUGAAGGAGGAGCUUGCUUCUCUGGAUGAGUUGCGAACGGGUGAGUAACGCGUAGGUAACCUGCCUGGUAGCGGGGGAUAACUAUUGGAAACGAUAGCUAAUACCGCAUAAGAGUAGAUGUUGCAUGACAUUUGCUUAAAAGUUGCAAUUGCAUCACUACCAGAUGGACCUGCGUUGUAUUAGCUAGUUGGUGGGGUAACGGCUCACCAAGGCGACGAUACAGAUCCGAGCUGAGGGGGUGAUCGGGCACACUUGGACUGAGACACGGCCCAGACUUCUACGGGAGGGAGCAGUAGGGAAUCUUCGGCAAUGGACGGAAGGCUGACCGAGCAACGCCGCGUGAGUGAAGAAGGUUUUCGGAUCGUAAAGCUCUGUUGUAAGAGAAGAAAGAGUGUGAGAGUGGAAAGUUCACACUGUGACGGUAUCUUAACAGAAAGGGACGGCUAACUACGUG